This 442-nucleotide ribosomal RNA is filed under the name uncultured bacterium. RNAcentral describes it as "partial 16S ribosomal RNA". It matches the Rfam family "Bacterial small subunit ribosomal RNA", at positions 338 to 795 of the family's 1533-position model. The record is from RNAcentral.
CCUACGGGAGGCAGCAGUGGGGGAUAUUGCACAAUGGGGGAAACCCUGAUGCAGCGACGCCGCGUGGGCGAAGAAGUAUUUCGGUAUGUAAAGCCCUAUCAGCAGGGAAGAAGAAAUGACGGUACCUGAGUAAGAAGCACCGGCUAAAUACGUGCCAGCAGCCGCGGUAAUACGUAUGGUGCAAGCGUUAGCCGGAUUUACUGGGUGGAAAGGGAGCGCAGGCGGCACGGCAAGCCUGAUGUGAAAGCCCGCGGCCCAACCGCGGGACUGCAUUGGGAACUACCGGGCUGGAGUGCCGGAGAGGUAGGCGGAAUUCCUAGUGUAGCGGUGAAAUGCGUAGAUAUUAGGAGGAACACCAGUGGCGAAGGCGGCCUACUGGAUGGUGACUGACGCUGAGGCUCGAAAGCGUGGGGAGCAAACAGGAUUAGAUACCCUUGUAGUC